This 5286-nucleotide long non-coding RNA is filed under the name Brassica napus (rape). Its description in RNAcentral is "long non-coding RNA (BNAP_LNC018780)". The record is from RNAcentral. Lineage: Eukaryota; Viridiplantae; Streptophyta; Magnoliopsida; Brassicales; Brassicaceae.
CUCAAAUAAAAAGAUUUAUCGUCUGUCAUUUACAAAUUGCUUUGCGCUAGCCAAGACUUUGUUUUUAAUUUAUCUCUCGAAGAAUAAUGACGUUUUUUGUCAUCUAUCUCAAUAUAUUAAACCUGAUCAGUAAUAUGAUUGUCAUGAAGGAAGGACCAUAACUACAAGGUAGUCAUGAUUUAUAAAGAAAAAUAAGUAAUUUCGUGCUCGUGAUCCUUUUGCAAAAUAAUCUGCUCAGAAAUUUAUGUUACGUGAGAUUAAACAAAGACUGAAACAUCAAAAAUGAUCUUGUAUAAACUCCUACGUUACUUCUUGAUCUUGUAUGGCUGUUUCGAUAUAUUGUUACACUCUAACACUCUUUGAUGGAAUUUUCGGGGGAAGGAGUGGGAACAACAUUAUCCACGUUCUAUGAAGAUACAACUGUGUACGAAGUAGACUACUGUACUUAUGUUGAACUGAGAAGAGAGGUCUCAAGUACAAAAGCAAUUGAGUUAUGGUCAAGCUGGAAUCAGGUUUAGUCAUGAUCAUGUCAUAAGCCGAACACCGGUUUGGUCAGCUGUCUUCAGUUCUUCAUAUGUUUCUGUACUAUUUGGUUUGUAUUUGAGUUGCUUUUGUAUGAAUUAUAUAUGAAAUAUGUUUUCAAAGUUUGAUUCAAUCAAAUAAGAUUUUAUAUUUCUGCCAACAAAAGAACAUUAAUAGAGAACAAGGAUUAUCAUUACAUAACAAUGUAUGUAAUUAAGAGUGUUGCUUGUGAAGCACAUCUGAAAACAAAGCUAGUUAGAGUCUGCGUCAAUUAGACCUAAACACACACAUGCAGUGGGAAAUAAUAGAAACAACAACAGUCUUAAGAACUUCGAACUGAAUCAUCAACUUGAUCAAACAUGUCAGCCGGGAAAUCUUCAUCCUUUGAAACAUGUCUGCAUCUAAGUUCCGAUGAAUACCGACAAUUGCCCUAUAUAACCAUUCGUCGGUAUUUCGUAGGAAUAUUCAGACCACUUUCCGACAAAGCAGCGGUCAUCGGAAAUUUGCGAUGCAGUCCGACGAAAUAGCGAGGGAAAUAUAUAACCAUUAUGCGACCAUUUUAAAUGGUUUGAAUUGUUAACCAUCAUGGGAAAAUCGUCGGAAGUUCCGACUCAUUUUCGACGAAACUUUUGACUGUUGCUAAUAUUAAAGAAAAAAAAAAAAUUUCGACGACCGUUCCUUAAAUUUCCGACGAAAUUCCAACGAAAUAUAUGACUGUUUUACAGCCGUUUUAUGCUUUGAUACGUCUGAUGGAAUUCCAACGAAAAUUAAUUUAUUCCGUCAAAAUAUCAUCAAGAAUCUGUCGGUAACUUUCUUUUAUAAAUACGAGCUCCUCUCAUUCACUUCAUUCACUCUUCAUUCUCUCCUCACUCUCUUCACUCACUACAAAUCCAUAAAAAAUCAUGUCUUCUGGAAAUUAUUUUCGUUCGUGGAUGGAUUAACCUCAUUUGGAUCCAAACACCAAUUUGCUUACAGAAAAAUACGUAGAAGGUUUUGGCGAAUUCAUGAAGCGUUUUCAACAACAACCGGAAGCAAAUCUCGGUAUAAUAAGAUGUCUCUCAUCUUCCUGCAAUAAUAGUAGGGUUUUAAAAGAAUGAGAUAUUUGAACUCAUUUAUAUAUGAAAGGGUUUAUACGAAAUUAGAAGAUUUGGUAUCUUCACAGGAAAACGGUUAUGAAUAUGGUAAUAUUGCCUCGACAUGUUAAUAGGUUAGAAGAACCAAAUACAUAUGUAGAUUAUGGCGUAGAUACUGAGCAUAUGGUAAAUGAUCAUUAUAGAAGGGAAGAACUAAAUGCAGAAUCUGAAUGUAGAAAAACAAUUUUUGUAUAAAUGUUGUAAAGAUGGUCAUUCAACUUUAUCAUCUUCAACAAGAUUAAUAGAUACUAAGACAGAUUAUAAUUUGACUGAAGUAAUCACGGCCAGCUGCUAACGUUUUGUAAUUUAAAAAUCUAAUUCUAUGAUUUAAAUAUAUAUUAAAAAUAUUAAUAAUAUUUGAUGAAACACAUGUUUUAAUUCUUUACGUCAUGUGUACUAUAUAUACUUCCAACGUGCACGCCACCAACCACUAUCAGAGCAACAAUGGAGUCGUCUGCUGAUUUGAACACCACCGAUGGCUGCCAAAACAUCUUGAUGCUGCGUCACGGUGAUCGCAUUGACAAGAUCAACCCACUCUGGCCCGAUACAGCUUCGAGACCUUGGGACCCUCCUCUCGUUCAGGACGGUUUGGUUCGUGCGUUUCAAACUGGUCAGCGGAUCCGGUCUCAGAUCCAGUUUCCGAUCCACAGGGUCUUCGUCUCUCCCUUCAUCCGUUGCGUUCAGACUGCUUCAGAACUUAUCGCCGCUCUCUCUGCCGUUGACUUAAACCCUAACGCUACGUCGUCUAAAGACGUUCUUUCCAUCGAUAAAUCUAAGCUCAAGGUCAAGAUUUUAAUCAUUUCCAGUCUAUAAGUCUUGAACUAUGACUGUCUUCAGGGAAUGUCAUGAACAUAGACAACGGUCUGUGGUCCCCAGAUUUUAGGAAUAAUUUACAUAGACAUAAUUUUUUAUACUAAAUUUCAUAUAGCCCUCAAAAUCUCAGGACCGGUCUUAAUAACGGUUGUGAUGUAUGUAAUGGUAUAAACUAGUUAAGGUGGUUGGUUCUUGUCUGCUUCAGGUGUCUAUCGAGUUUGGUUUGAGUGAGAUGCUGAACAGUAUGGCUAUUAGGCCUAAGGUUGCUCCAAAAGAUGGAAAAUUCGAUUUUAAGAUUUCAGAUCUUGAAGCUAUGUUUCCUGAGGGAAUGGUGGAUCAUGACGUAGACCCUGUUUAUAAAGAGGUAAUCAAUCUCUCUAGACCUAGUCUUUGUUCUGUUUCUGUAUGUUGUUUUCUUGGAAGCAAUUUGAGUUAUAAACUUGAUGAUCUUCUUCUGAGUGUGUCAUGAUGGUUUUGUUCAGAUGCCACAAUGGGAAGAGACUGUGGAAGAAUGCACAGAACGGUUUCUUAGUUUGGUGAAGACUCUUGCUGAUAAGUACCCUUCAGAGAACUUGCUCUUAGUCACUCACGGUAAGCAAGACAUUCUUGGUUAUGUGGAUCUUGUACACUCACACUAUUGACUUGAUUAGUAAAAAAAUUCUGCUUCUCUAGAAAGAAAAUCUUUUUCUUUUCUUUCUUUUUUCUCUCAAGGUUUCAGUAUUCAGCAGCAAAAAAUCUUUGAUAAUCUCUUUCGUUAAUCGAAUGUUCAAAUGUGUGACUUGUAAGAACCUCUAUGUGCAGGGGAAGGAGUAAGGACUACAUUUGCAACCUAUAAAGACGUAGCUGUGUACGAGGUAGAGUAUUGUGCUUGUGCUGAACUGAGAAGACAGGUCUUGAGUCAAGAAGAGUCUACUAAAGCUGGAGACUUUGAAGUGAUCGGUCAAGCUGGAAUCAAGUACCAUUGCUUGAAAACCACAGCAGUACCAUGUGUGAAGUGGUAUUGAGUCAUGGUCAAGGUAGAGUAUUGUGCUUGUGCUGUACUAUUUGGUUGUAUUUGAGUUGCUUUUGUAUGAAUUAUGAAAUAAAUUUUUAAAGUUUGAUUCAGUCAAAUAAGAUAUUACAUUUCUUCUGCCAACAAAAGAACAUUAACAGAGAAACAAGGAUUGUCAUUACAUAUCAAAGUAGUUAAGAGUGUUGCUUGUGAAGCACAUCUAAAAACAAAGCUAGUUAGAGUCUGCGUUAAAUUAGACCUAAACACACACAUGCAGGGGGAAGCAAUCUAAUAGAAACAAACAACAACAACAACAACAAUCUAAGGACUCUGAUUUGGAUCGUCAACUUGAUCAAACAUGUCAGCCGGGAAAUCAUCUAAGAAAACAUCAGCUUCUUCUUCAUCAUCAUCCUUUGAAACAUGUCUACAUCUUCUCUCUGCAGGAGGCAGCUCAAAAAACGGCUGAGGGAGAGCGAACAACGGCUCAGAACAACCAGCCGGUCCGAGGAUAUCGUAGUAAUAAGGAUUGUCGAGUCUAGCCAAAAGCUCUCUGCUUUCUGGAUAGAAAGGGAUGGUCGCUUGCUGAUUAGCAAUAUGCGGCUCAGACAUGAGAGGAUCAUCAGUCCAAAAAGCGAAUGGCUGAUGUUCUAACUUGAUACCCAAUUCAGGCAACCUCAAAGCUUCAUCAACUUGGUCUGAUGAUGAGUAAGGAAGAAUCUUGGAAGAUGAAGAAGAAGCUGUAGUCACCUCUUCCUCAACCAAACCAAAACUCUGAAAGUGAAACACACACAAACUGAAAAAUCCUUUAUAAUAAUAAUUAAAAAUGUAUAUAUUUUAUCAUUUAGAAACAUAAUAUACCUGAGGGGGAUAGAAGUAUUGGAUUGGUUUAACGAAGUCAACAUUUUAAAAUAUAUUAAUAAAAAUAAUACAUUUAACGUUUUUUAUAUGGGGUUUUCGCAAAUAAGACUCAAAACUUGAAUUUAAACACAAAACUAACUCAUGCUUUUUUUUUAACUUUGAUUUGCCUCUUUCAUCCCAAAAGCUCAGAUUAUUCACGAAAAUGCCAUCACUUUUUCACUCUGGCUGAUAAGUACCCUUCAGAGAACUUGCUCUUAGUCACUCACGGUAAGCAAGGCAUUCUUGGUUCUGUUAUUGUACUGUACACACACACCUUUUGACUUUAUUAGUUUUAAAUCUCUGCUUUGCUUCUCUUUUUGUUACUAAGAUUUCAGUGUCCAUGUAGCAAAGCUGUUCUGUGGUUGCACUAGAGCAAAAAGUCUAUGAUAAUUAAUCGGUUUAUGUUCAAUCUCUCUGUGCAGGGGAAGGAGUAAGGACUACAUUUGCAACCUAUAAAAAAGUAGAUACGUACGACGUAGAGUACUGUGCGUGUGCUGAACUGAGAAGAAAGGUCUCGAGUCAAGACGGGUCUACUAAAGCUGGAGGCUUUGAGGUGAUGACAAGUCUUGGUGAAGUUGGAAUCAAGUACCAUUCCUUGACCACCACAGCAGACAAAUGAUCAUGUUCCCAACUCUCGAGUUGUGUCAGUGUCUCCAGAAGAUCAUCACGACAUUGGAAAACCGAAAUUAAACUAGAUACUGGAUAUUAAGAACGAGUGAUUCUAAACUCAAAUAAAAAGAUUUAUCGUCUGUCAUUUACAAAUUGCUUUGCGCUAGCCAAGACUUUGUUUUUAAUUUAUCUCUCGAAGAAUAAUGACGUUUUUUGUCAUCUAUCUCAAUAUAUUAAACCUGAUCAGUAAUAUGAUUGUCAUGAAGGAAGGACCAUAACUACAAGGUAGUCAUGAUUUAUAAAGAAAAAUAAGUAAUUUCG